This 470-nucleotide ribosomal RNA is filed under the name uncultured organism. RNAcentral describes it as "partial 16S ribosomal RNA". It matches the Rfam family "Bacterial small subunit ribosomal RNA", at positions 335 to 797 of the family's 1533-position model. The record is from RNAcentral.
ACUCCUGCGGGAGGCAGCAGUGGGGAAUAUUGCACAAUGGGCGCAAGCCUGAUGCAGCCAUGCCGCGUGUAUGAAGAAGGCCUUCGGGUUGUAAAGUACUUUCAGCGGGGAGGAAGGCAAUACGGUUAAUAACCGUGUUGAUUGACGUUACCCGCAGAAGAAGCACCGGCUAACUCCGUGCCAGCAGCCGCGGUAAUACGGAGGGUGCAAGCGUUAAUCGGAAUUACUGGGCGGAAAGCGCACGCAGGCGGUCUGUCAAGUCGGAUGUGAAAUCCCCGGGCUCAACCUGGGAACUGCAUUCGAAACUGGCAGGCUUGAGUCUUGUAGAGGGGGGUAGAAUUCCAGGUGUAGCGGUGAAAUGCGUAGAGAUCUGGAGGAAUACCGGUGGCGAAGGCGGCCCCCUGGACAAAGACUGACGCUCAGGUGCGAAAGCGUGGGGAGCAAACAGGAUUAGAAACCCGGGUAGUCCC